RNAcentral lists this ribosomal RNA (480 nucleotides) under Staphylococcus aureus. Its description in RNAcentral is "partial 23S ribosomal RNA". It matches the Rfam family "Bacterial large subunit ribosomal RNA", at positions 252 to 731 of the family's 2925-position model. The record is from RNAcentral. Lineage: Bacteria; Bacillati; Bacillota; Bacilli; Caryophanales; Staphylococcaceae.
AGCGAAACGGGAAGAGCCCAAACCAACAAGCUUGCUUGUUGGGGUUGUAGGACACUCUAUACGGAGUUACAAAGGACGACAUUAGACGAAUCAUCUGGAAAGAUGAAUCAAAGAAGGUAAUAAUCCUGUAGUCGAAAAUGUUGUCUCUCUUGAGUGGAUCCUGAGUACGACGGAGCACGUGAAAUUCCGUCGGAAUCUGGGAGGACCAUCUCCUAAGGCUAAAUACUCUCUAGUGACCGAUAGUGAACCAGUACCGUGAGGGAAAGGUGAAAAGCACCCCGGAAGGGGAGUGAAAUAGAACCUGAAACCGUGUGCUUACAAGUAGUCAGAGCCCGUUAAUGGGUGAUGGCGUGCCUUUUGUAGAAUGAACCGGCGAGUUACGAUUUGAUGCAAGGUUAAGCAGUAAAUGUGGAGCCGUAGCGAAAGCGAGUCUGAAUAGGGCGUUUAGUAUUUGGUCGUAGACCCGAAACCAGGUGAUCU